AGACAUGAGACAUCAAUCAACACAUGUAGGAUGAACAUUGGUUCGGUCUGGAAAGGCGGGACAACUCGAAGCAAAGGCAGGAAGACUCGAAGCAGACGGGGGCUUCCAGGUCAUAGGAAGUCAUGAGCGAAGAGACCGUGAGCCUCUCCCAAACCCCGCAUGUGCUGACAUCUCCACGUGUGCUGUGUCCUGGGUAGGCUUUCUUCAUAGACCGUGCUUCCGUCUGUCUGGAGUUUCCGCUUCAUCCAUCUGUCCACAGGGAGGACGCACACCCCUGAGUCCGAGGCCACACCACGCAUUCUGUAGAAACUCUCACUGCCCAGGGAGCACACUUUAUUAGGAAAGCUCCAGGUUCACAGAGGCUCUGGGCUCUCUCUGGGCCCGACGCCCUUCACUGUUUGAACUCAGCAGCUGCCUGCAGGUGCGGAGGACAUGCACCUUCCAGCCUUUGUCCUUUCCUGGCCUUCUCGUCAAUCUUACCGUCUGUCGGCCCUAAGUGGAUGCUCGGGUAAGUAAGUCCGUA
Molecule: long non-coding RNA, 523 nt
Filed under: Homo sapiens (human)
Lineage: Eukaryota; Metazoa; Chordata; Mammalia; Primates; Hominidae
Description: non-protein coding lnc-PXDN-3:3
Source: RNAcentral